GCAGUCGCCACGGUAAUACGUAGGUGGCAAGCGUUGUCCGGAAUUAUUGGGCGUAAAGGGCUCGCAGGCGGUUUCUUAAGUCUGAUGUGAAAGCCCCCGGCUCAACCGGGGAGGGUCAUUGGAAACUGGAAAACUUGAGUGCAGAAGAGGAGAGUGGAAUUCCACGUGUAGCGGUGAAAUGCGUAGAGAUGUGGAGGAACACCAGUGGCGAAGGCGACUCUCUGGUCUGUAACUGACGCUGAGGAGCGAAAGCGUGGGGAGCGAACAGGAUUAGAUACCCCUGUAGUCCCUGUCUCUUAUAC
This 302-nucleotide ribosomal RNA is filed under the name uncultured bacterium. RNAcentral describes it as "partial 16S ribosomal RNA". It matches the Rfam family "Bacterial small subunit ribosomal RNA", at positions 508 to 807 of the family's 1533-position model. The record is from RNAcentral.